Molecule: small RNA, 438 nt
Filed under: Pongo abelii (Sumatran orangutan)
Lineage: Eukaryota; Metazoa; Chordata; Mammalia; Primates; Hominidae
Description: retained intron
Source: RNAcentral
AGGGCAUAGAUGACCCAGCUGGGGAGGAGGCCAAGGGACUGUGUUAUGUGGGGGAGAAGCUCUCCAGGAAAGGAAAGCCUCAGUAGAAGAUGGAGAGUGUGACUCAAAAAUACUGCUUCUCUCUCUUUAUCUCAGGCUUGAAGGUCCCCACCACCAUUACUCUGACACUUCGUGGCCAGCCGAGCAGGAUCACCACGCUGAGCCCUAUGGGCUCAGGAGCAGCCCCAUCCGAGGAGUCCUCUUCCCAGGUGCUGCCCUCCAGCUCACAGCGCCUGCCUCCAGCACCCUGAAGAUGCGGUGUGAUAUGUCCUCCUUACCAAGUUGGUGAUGGCUGCCUCAUGGUGGGCCCUGGACACGUGCGUGGUCCUGCUGAGCUGUCCACGUGUCCGAAGACCUGUUUAAGACAGUCAUUUUUGCCUCUCCGCCAACUGUCUUCAG